This 254-nucleotide ribosomal RNA is filed under the name uncultured bacterium. Its description in RNAcentral is "partial 16S ribosomal RNA". It matches the Rfam family "Bacterial small subunit ribosomal RNA", at positions 524 to 776 of the family's 1533-position model. The record is from RNAcentral.
UACGGGGGGAGCAAGCGUUGUUCGGAUUUACUGGGCGUAAAGGGCGCGUAGGCGGUCAGCACAAGUCAGUUGUGAAAUCUCCGGGCUUAACUCGGAAAGGUCAACUGAUACUGUGCGACUAGAGUGCAGAAGGGGCAACUGGAAUUCUCGGUGUAGCGGUGAAAUGCGUAGAUAUCGAGAGGAACACCUGUGGCGAAGGCGGGUCUCUGGGCCGAUACUGACGCUGAGGAGCGAAAGCGUGGGGAGCGAACAGG